AUCACGUCUCUUGGUGUCUUCUGGUGAGCUCAGCCGAAGGGAAUUGGCAAUGCAGGACUUUGAAAAAGAGGAUUUUAGUCAUCUCAUAUAGUUCUUAAAGAGUCCGUUUCUUGAAGAAGAUCAUUGUGUGAGUGAAAGAAGAAAUUAUUAUCCUCCCAUUGCCAGACUGGAAUGCCUCAAAAAUAAGAAGGAAAGAUCAACUAACUGUCAACAUCUAUUUAAAGACUCCUUCUGCAUGGACCUUUUGUAGAACCAUUAUAGCAGGUUUAAUUGGAAUCGGCAGCCUAAGGAAGUGGUGGAGUCACUGCCCCUGGAGAUCUUCAAGAAACCUGGAGUUGUGACAGUGAGGGACAUGGUUUAUUGGGCAUGGUGGUGAUGGGUUGACAGUUGGACUAGAUUAUGUUAGUGGUCUUUUAUAACGUUAACUAUUCUAAAAAUGAAAGUUUCAGAUUGCCUUGCCUUAUAUUUUUUUAAAAUGUAAAUUCGGUUUUGUCUAGAACUUUUCCUUUCUUCAGAAAAUGUGGACCAAAAGACUGCAUCCAGGUAGUCUUUCACUGUGUGUGUGUUUUAUUGCUUUUGCACCGAGGUUCUCAGACAUGAAGUAGAUGUGAAAGAAAAAUUCAUGUGACUGAGGUUAAUUUUAAUUGCCAACAGGUUCUUACUGUCCUAAUAGAUUAGUCACCUAACACCAGCUACGGAAGAGAAUAACCAACUCUUUUUUGUAUACAGCCAUUCACACAAAAAGAAGAGCAAUACUUUAAGGAAAUGAUUUUUCUCAUCUGCAAAUGCUGUGUUUUCCAUCAAGUUUUUACUUUUAAACUGUGGAAGAGAGUUUAUAAACUACCAAAAAAAAAAAAAAAAACAGCAAUUAAUGUAAUUACUCUGAUGUGGAAGAGUUCUGCAAUGAAUUGCCAAGUCCUACUGUGGCAUCUAAGUCCAUUUUCAGAUAUAAAACGUGGCUCUCACGAUGACUUUUUCUCCAUGUAGUAAGGAAAGUUUCUCUGUCUGUUGGAAUUGAAUAAUGAAUUCAGACCACACAGUUAUUGCUCAGAGAGAUAUAUCUUACAGUCUUACUCCUGUGAAUGGGUCUUUCCUGUCUCCUCACCCUUUCUGUCUGAAGAUAUAUAUCAUUUACAUGGCUGAUCUUUUCUUGUAGAUUGAAACUAUAUUAACAUAUUAUCCUGUUCAGUCUUGCUUUAUAGGAUGACGUUGCUAUGCCAAGACUUAUUUGUGGUUUUCCUGCUUUAGAAUGCAUAUGCAAGCCCCCCCUUUACACUUUGAGAAACAAUUAAUGCAAUCCAAAAUGAGAGGAAACUAGAUGGUUUUAUUCAGACUAAUCUCCCCUUAUCUAUAUGCUGGAUCAUAUGCUGGACUUAUUUUACCUGAUAAAAUUAAAGAAACCUUAAGAUUUUUUUUCACUUGCUGCAGCCAUUUUGAAAAUCAGGUAUAAGAAAAGCAAGUGGUUAACCCAUCAUUUGUCAUUUUGCUAUGUUCAAACUGUAAGAAGAAUUCUAUUUCUUUAACACUGAUAAUAUUGAAAAUCAAUUCAGAGUGGAUUGAUUCCUUUCCUCCCUUUGAUUCCAGAAAUCUUUUUGUUCCUUAGUGUCCCUUGUGGUUGGCUGUCAUGCAGAGGACAGAAAACUUGAUUUUUAUCAUAUGGAAUGCUUCAGGCUUAGGAGCUUCCUGAUGUAUGAAUUAAAUGAACUUAGUCCAUCAGCAGAUCAGUCAGUCAUACACUGAUGCAUGCUAUUCUUCUUAAACAUAUCCUUCUUAAACAUGUAACAGUAGCCAUGUACCUAGGAGCACAAAAUAAUAACUUUUCAGAUCUUAGCAUCCAAAAAAAAAAAUCAGCAUAACAUACAGAAGAUUAAUAUUCUAGUACUUGAUAGUCUGCAAUGACUGCCAACCUGUGCUUUUAAACAAAUCAAUUGUAGAAAAAACUCAAGUUUUUUUUUUUAUUUUUGGGAGAUAAAAGCUACAAUUUCAUGUAAACUUGACUUCCAAUGCUUUGAAGAAAAAUAGAGAAACACCACUAAACAUUAUGAGCUUUCAGUAAAAUUAUGGGUGCCAUCUAAGUUAGAAGUGCAGUAACUGAUUGUAUUUUUUUUUUCUCCCUAAGUUACUAGCCUUUAAACUAAUAUAAAAGAUGCUCAGCUUUUGUAUGGAUAAAUUAGUCAUCAGAAAUAACUGCCUAAUUAGGAAGAAGUGUUCCUAGCAGCUGAAGUAUGAACAGCUGCAGAUAAUGUUACUGUGUACUUCAGGUGGUUUAACCAAUUUAUUCUUCCCUUCACGCUUUAGCACAGUAUAGAAAAUACUUUGAGGAGAAUAACAGAUAAUGUAGAUAAAUACUGUAUAAAUUUUUAUCAUUCAAAAGUUUUGUCUCUAAGCAAAUUAUCUUUGAAAUCUCUAAACAAUACUAUGUUAAUGAAUUUAAAAUACAUUCCUUAGCAAUUAUUUGAUUGCCAAACAAAAUUAACAACAAGUAUUCCAGACCAUAUAAAAUCUUCAAAAAAAUAUAUGGUAUUAACAGUUGUAAGAGUUUGCAUACAUAACUGAAGUUUUUUCAAAAUCUUUUUAACUAAAACACAUUCUCACUUUUCUAAGAUUCAGUAGAGUCAAUGAACGCCAAUGGAGUGGGGUAGAUGUUAAAUUACUUCAGGAGGCAGCCCAAAGACUAAUUUAAACUGUUUUUUUUUUUUAAUUAAGGGAAAAAAGAAAAACAUCAUUCUUUCACCAAGCAUUGACUGAGACUUUCAUCUAAAGGUUUAGACUCAAAUCUUCUAUUAAUUUUGUUAAACACCCCUUGUCUGCAUUCCAGAAAUUCCUACGAAUUUUUGCCUUAAGCUAAAUGACAAGUAUUUGAAAAUGUUCGAUUUCGUGAAGAUUUUUUUUCUUGGUAACUUUAAAGCCAAAAUUCUGAUUACUUUUAAGCAUAAAAUGUAGACUGGGAUCUAGAUAAAUACACAUAGGUGGCCAUUUUAUCUCUAUAACAAAUCAAACCCCAAAUCUCAGGUAUAAGCACUUUUAGGGAGUUCUGAUUCAUGUCUGAAUCCAAAUGCUGUGGCUUACACUCACUUCAACAGGUACAGAAGUGCUAAUAGGAAAUUAGAGGUUUCAUCUCAUGCUGUUUGGAGGGAGCCUUUGAGUGAUGUGUCAUAAUCUCUUUCUAUAUUGGGGAAUAACAGAUGUUAAAAAUCACCCAACAAGUAUAUUAAGGCAUUUCAUGUUUUGUGGGUUUCCUUAUUACAGAAUUUUUCAAGAACGCUUGGAAUGAAAUCAACAGUCUCAUGUAUGUAAAUAAAA
Centrocercus urophasianus (Greater sage-grouse) is the source of this 3303-nucleotide long non-coding RNA. RefSeq lists it as uncharacterized. The record is from RefSeq and is a predicted model, not a curated record. Lineage: Eukaryota; Metazoa; Chordata; Aves; Galliformes; Phasianidae. The transcript has 4 exons.